GUAACAGGUCUUCGGGUGCUGGCGAGUGGCGAACGGGUGAGUAAUACAUCGGAACGUGCCCGAUCGUGGGGGAUAACGAGGCGAAAGCUUUGCUAAUACCGCAUACGAUCUACGGAUGAAAGCGGGGGAUCUUCGGACCUCGCGCGGACGGAGCGGCCGAUGGCAGAUUAGGUAGUUGGUGGGAUAAAAGCUUACCAAGCCGACGAUCUGUAGCUGGUCUGAGAGGAUGAUCAGCCACACUGGGACUGAGACACGGCCCAGACUCCUACGGGAGGCAGCAGUGGGGAAUUUUGGACAAUGGGCGAAAGCCUGAUCCAGCCAUGCCGCGUGCAGGAUGAAGGCCUUCGGGUUGUAAACUGCUUUUGUACGGAACGAAAAGCCUCUUUCUAAUAAAGAGGGGUCAUGACGGUACCGUAAGAAUAAGCACCGGCUAACUACGUGCCAGCAGCCGCGGUAAUACGUAGGGUGCAAGCGUUAAUCGGAAUUACUGGGCGUAAAGCGUGCGCAGGCGGUUUUGUAAGACAGAGGUGAAAUCCCCGGGCUCAACCUGGGAACUGCCUUUGUGACUGCAAGGCUGGAGUGCGGCAGAGGGGGAUGGAUUCCGCGUGCAGCAGUGAAAUGCGUAGAUAUGCGGAGGAACACCGAUGGCGAAGGCAAUCCCCUGGGCCUGCACUGACGC
This 679-nucleotide ribosomal RNA is filed under the name uncultured beta proteobacterium. Its description in RNAcentral is "bacterial SSU rRNA". It matches the Rfam family "Bacterial small subunit ribosomal RNA", at positions 69 to 746 of the family's 1533-position model. Lineage: Bacteria; Pseudomonadati; Pseudomonadota; Betaproteobacteria. The record is from RNAcentral.